CAGCCGCCGCGGGAAAACGGAGGGUGCAAGCGUUAAUCGGAAUUACUGGGCGUAAAGCGCACGCAGGCGGUUUGUUAAGUCAGAUGUGAAAUCCCCGAGCUUAACUUGGGAACUGCAUUUGAAACUGGCAAGCUAGAGUCUUGUAGAGGGGGGUAGAAUUCCAGGUGUAGCGGUGAAAUGCGUAGAGAUCUGGAGGAAUACCGGUGGCGAAGGCGGCCCCCUGGACAAAGACUGACGCUCAGGUGCGAAAGCGUGGGGAGCAAACAGGAUUAGAGACCCGCGUAGUCCCUGUCUCUUAUAC
This 301-nucleotide ribosomal RNA is filed under the name uncultured bacterium. Its description in RNAcentral is "partial 16S ribosomal RNA". It matches the Rfam family "Bacterial small subunit ribosomal RNA", at positions 509 to 807 of the family's 1533-position model. The record is from RNAcentral.